RNAcentral lists this ribosomal RNA (877 nucleotides) under uncultured Streptococcus sp. Its description in RNAcentral is "bacterial SSU rRNA". It matches the Rfam family "Bacterial small subunit ribosomal RNA", at positions 32 to 885 of the family's 1533-position model. The record is from RNAcentral. Lineage: Bacteria; Bacillati; Bacillota; Bacilli; Lactobacillales; Streptococcaceae.
AACGCCGGCGGCGUGCUAAUACAUGCAAGUAGAACGCACAGGAUGCACCGUAGUUUACUACACCGUAUUCUGUGAGUUGCGAACGGGUGAGUAACGCGUAGGUAACCUGCCUGGUAGCGGGGGAUAACUAUUGGAAACGAUAGCUAAUACCGCAUAAGAACAUUUACUGCAUGGUAGAUGUUUAAAAGGUGCAAAUGCAUCACUACCAGAUGGACCUGCGUUGUAUUAGCUAGUAGGUGAGGUAACGGCUCACCUAGGCGACGAUACAUAGCCGACCUGAGAGGGUGAUCGGCCACACUGGGACUGAGACACGGCCCAGACUCCUACGGGAGGCAGCAGUAGGGAAUCUUCGGCAAUGGGGGGAACCCUGACCGAGCAACGCCGCGUGAGUGAAGAAGGUUUUCGGAUCGUAAAGCUCUGUUGUUAAGGAAGAACGAGUGUGAGAAUGGAAAGUUCAUACUGUGACGGUACUUAACCAGAAAGGGACGGCUAACUACGUGCCAGCAGCCGCGGUAAUACGUAGGUCCCGAGCGUUGUCCGGAUUUAUUGGGCGUAAAGCGAGCGCAGGCGGUUAGAUAAGUCUGAAGUUAAAGGCAGUGGCUCAACCAUUGUAGGCUUUGGAAACUGUUUAACUUGAGUGCAGAAGGGGAGAGUGGAAUUCCAUGUGUAGCGGUGAAAUGCGUAGAUAUAUGGAGGAACACCGGUGGCGAAAGCGGCUCUCUGGUCUGUAACUGACGCUGAGGCUCGAAAGCGUGGGGAGCGAACAGGAUUAGAUAACCUGGUAGUCCACGCCGUAAACGAUGAGUGCUAGGUGUUAGGUCCUUUCCGGGACUUAGUGCCGCAGCUAACGCAUUAAGCACUCCGCCUGGGAGUACGA